This 433-nucleotide ribosomal RNA is filed under the name uncultured bacterium. RNAcentral's name for it is "partial 16S ribosomal RNA". It matches the Rfam family "Bacterial small subunit ribosomal RNA", at positions 29 to 507 of the family's 1533-position model. The record is from RNAcentral.
AGCGAACGCUGGCGGCAGGCCUAACACAUGCAAGUCGAACGGAUCCUUCGGGAUUAGUGGCGGACGGCUGAGUAACACGUGGGAACGUCCCCUUUGGUUCGGAACAACUCAGGGAAACUUGAGCUAAUACCAGAUGUGCCCUUCGGGGGAAAGAUUUAUCGCCAUUGGAGCGGCGCGCGUCUGAUUCGCUAGUUGGUGAGGUAACGGCCCACCAAGGCGACGAUCAGUAGCUGGUCUGAGAGGAUGAUCAGCCACACUGGGACUGAGACACGGCCCAGACUCCUACGCGAGGCAGGAGUGGGGAAUCUUGCGCAAUGGGCGAAAGCAUGACGCAGCCAUGCCGCGUGAAUGAUGAAGGUCUUAGGAUUGUAAAAUUAUUUCAGCGGGGACGAUAAUGACGGUAACCGCAGAAGAAGCACCGGCUAACUUCGUG